Long non-coding RNA from Hypanus sabinus (Atlantic stingray), 1938 nucleotides. RefSeq lists it as uncharacterized. The record is from RefSeq and is a predicted model, not a curated record. NCBI's taxonomy places the organism in Eukaryota, Metazoa, Chordata, Chondrichthyes, Myliobatiformes, Dasyatidae. The transcript has 3 exons.
CUCUGGUAAUGCCUGUAUUCAUAUCCCUUGAAGUGCCUGAAUCCAAUUCGAGCUUCAUCGCAAAGAUAACUGAGACUGGUAAUUAUCUUCAUCACAUGAAAUUGCUCAAAAGUGAUCAGGAUGGAGUUGCCUUCGCUUGACUGAAGGAGAAUUUUCUCAAGGAGGCAUGAAAGCUGGACAGUCGGCAAGCCCGGACUUUGGGCCUGGAGUUCGGAGUCCCGUCAUCAGCUAGUCCAAGGGAAAAACCAAUACCAAAGAUUGAAGCUCAAAAGUCGAUUGGAAGUCUGGAAGAUGAUGGCAAAGCUCGGAGACUAGAAACUGGAGAUCCGAAUCGGAUGGCAGAGGGGAAGAAGCUGUUCCUGAAUCACUGAGUGUGUGCCUUCAGGCUUCUGUACCUCCUCCCUGAUAGUAACAGUGAGAAAAAGGCAUGUCCUGGAUGCUGGGAAUCUUUAAUGAUGGAUGCUGCCUUCCUAAGGCACUGCUCCUUGAAGAUGUCUUGGAUAAUGCAGAGGCUGGAACCCAUAACGGUGCUGACUAAUUUUGCAAGUUUCUGCAACUUACUUUGAUCUUGUGCAGUAGCACCCCACCACCCCCCCACUCCCAAACCAGAUGGUAAUGCAACCAAGAUGUACAAAAAAGCUGGAUGAACUCAGCAGGUCGGGCAGCAUCCGUUGAAAGAAGCAGUCAACGUUUCGGGUCAAAACCCUCCGGCAACCAGUUGGAAUGCUCUUCACUGUAUAUUUGUAGAAGUUGUUGAGUGUUUUAGUUGACAAACCAAAUCUCCUCAAACUCCUAAUGAAAUAUAGCCACUGUCUUGCUUUAUUUAUAGCUGCAUCAGUAUGCUGUGGCCAGGUUAGGUCCUCAGUGGUUUUGACACCCAAGAAUGUGAAAUUGUUCACUCUCUCCACUUCUGAUCCAUCAAUGAGGAUUGGUUUGUGUUCCCAUAAGACCAUGAGAUCUAGGAGCAGAAUUAGGCAUUUUGGCCCAUCGAAUCUGCUCGAUGCAUUCAUUUUGAGAGGACUAGAAUUUAAAAGCAGGGAUGUGAUGCCGAGUCUUUGUAAGGCACUGGUGAGACCUCAGUGGCCCUAUAAACAGUGUUGGGCUCCUUAUUUAAGAAAGGAUGUGAUGACAUUGGUGAGGGUUCAAAGGAAGUUCAUGAAAAUGAUUCAGGGAUUGAAAGGCUUAUCAUAUGAGGAGCGUUUGAUGGUUCUGGGCCUCUGCUGACUGGAAUUUGAAAAAAAUGGGGGUAUAGGUAGAUCUCAUUGAAACCUGUCAAGUGUUGAAAGACCUCGAUAAAGUGGAUGUUUCCUGCAGUGGGGAGUCUAAGACCAGAGGACACAUCCUCAGAAUAGAGGAACAUCUGUUUAGAAUGGAGAUGAGAUGAGAAAUUUCUUUAGCCAGAGAGUGAUGAAUCUGUGGAAUUUGUUGCUAAACAGCUGUGGAGGCCAGGUCAUCGAGUGCACUUAAGGCAAAGAUUGAUAGGUUCUUGAUUAGUCAGGGUGAGAGAAGUUGCAGGAAGAAGGCAAGAGAAUAGGGUUGAGCCACAAUGAAAUGGUGGAGCAGACUCCAUGGCCAAAUGACCUAAUUAUGCUCCUAGCUCUUACAGUGUAGACGACCAUUCAAGUAGGAAUUGAGCUUCAGCAGGAAGAGAAUAGACAACUGUCAGUAUCGCAGGAAAAUGAAUCUCAGGGUAUAUAGUGACAUUUACGUACUUUGAUAAUUACUUUGACCUUUGAACUUUGAAUUGUCCAGCCAAGUUAACAAACUUCCAUUCCAAAGACAAGUUGGAGUCACGAAUCAUGCAGCCCAUAAAAAGUCCCUUCAGCCCAUCCAUCACCUGCUUAUAUUAAUUCCAUUCUGUCCUCUCCACAUUACCAUCAUCCCUCCCCACCUUCCCACCCCCCCCCCCCCACAGACUCGACUUUUCACCUACACAUU